UCCCUGGAGGACUAGUGGUUAGGUCUCGGCGCUCUCACCACCGCCGUGGCCCGGGUUCGAUUCCCACGAAUGAGAG
Molecule: transfer RNA, 76 nt
Filed under: Pangasius djambal
Lineage: Eukaryota; Metazoa; Chordata; Actinopteri; Siluriformes; Pangasiidae
Description: tRNA-Glu
Source: RNAcentral